Molecule: RNA transcript, 593 nt
Organism: Rhinopithecus roxellana (golden snub-nosed monkey)
Lineage: Eukaryota; Metazoa; Chordata; Mammalia; Primates; Cercopithecidae
Gene name: 40S ribosomal protein S4, X isoform-like
Exons: 2
Source: RefSeq, a predicted model, not a curated record
AUGGAAAAACUUGUUAUUCUCUUGGUUUCACUGUUCUCAUUUGAAAAUGAUGAGGGGGAGACACUCUUGACGGGAGAGAAUUUCCGUCUGAUCUAUGACACCAAGGGUCGCUUUGCUGUACAUCGUAUUACACCUGAGGAGGCCAAGUACAAGUUAUGCAAAGUGAGAAAGAUCUUUGUGGGCACAAAAGGAAUCCCUCAUCUGGUGACUCAUGAUGCCCGCACCAUCCGCUACCCCGAUCCCCUCAUCAAGGUGAAUGAUACCAUUCAGAUUGAUUUGGAGACUGGCAAGAUUACUGAUUUCAUCAAGUUCGACACUGGUAACCUGUGUAUGGUGACUGGAGGUGCUAACCUGGAAGAAUUGGUGUGAUCACCAACAGAGAGAGGCAUCCUGGAUCUUUUGACGUGGUUCACGUGAAAGAUGCCAAUGGCAACAGCUUUGCCACUCGACUUUCCAACAUUUUUGUUAUUGGCAAGGGCAACAAACCAUGGAUUUCUCUUCCCCGAGGAAAGGGUAUCCGCCUCACCAUUGCUGAAGAGAGAGAUAAAAGACUGGCGGCCAAACAGAGCAGUGGGUGAAAUGGGCCCCUGGGU